Molecule: long non-coding RNA, 499 nt
Organism: Penaeus monodon (black tiger shrimp)
Lineage: Eukaryota; Metazoa; Arthropoda; Malacostraca; Decapoda; Penaeidae
Exons: 3
Source: RefSeq, a predicted model, not a curated record
UCACGUGGACGGCGCAUUCAAGUUCCCUGUAAAUAUGAUGAUGUGUGGAUCUGAGCGGCGUGCGGGUGCUUCAUUCUUUGCCGCAAUGAAGAGAAAGAGAAAGAUAAGAUGCUUAGGUUUUCCAUUAAACAAGGAAAAUUUCGUAAAAAAUUGACUUACUGCUAAAAAGAAGAUAAACAGAUCUCAACAUUCGACAAGAGUGUAUCACUUUGGAAAGUUAGCUGGAUCAGACCAACAGGUCAUACUCUUAAGCCCCACCUAUUGAGCUUUUCGAUUGGUUGCAUCCCUAAGCCCCGCCUUUGACUCCACCCCUAACCCCUCCCACAAUUCAUGUGUGCCUGGCCGAAGGGGUACCAAGCGGUGAAACGGGUCAGUCAGACUUGGACUGUCGGCGAGGUAGCCUGAACCCGCGGACGCAGUCUUUCCACAGGAGGCGAAGCAGGAGAUGGCGGGUCUUGUGUCAGCAGGCAGCGCCCUCCUCCUGCUGAUGGCGCGUGAG